UAGAGAUGUCAAACUGGGUACUGUCCCGCGGGCCUGGCCCAGAAGGGUUUGUUGCGGGGCGGGUAUGGGCCUAGGGAUUCAUGACCCGCAAAAAAGCGGGCCUUGCGGGACUGGGCUUGUUUGAUACCGGGUCUAAAGCGGGACGGCCCGCAUCAACCGCGGGAAGGCCCACAUGUACCGCAUCUAGAUGCUUCGUCGUUUCCGUUGCCCUUUCACCUGAAAAUGAAAAGUUUAAUAUCUACUGAAAUGACCAUUGCAGAUGUGUCGUCUCUUCUUGUUAAGGAGGAGACUGCAUUCCCUUUGAGACAAGACUCUUCACUAAUUCCAGGAGAACCCAAUAUAUCUUAUAUAGCCUCUGUUCCCUGGAGAGACUAGAGUUGAUCAAUUGGUGGAGAUCAUUAAGGCAAUAAAACGAUUGUGGUUUUUGUUUUCUUUCCUGUUAGAUUCUCAGAGUUUGUCUCUGACAUGUAGUUCUUAUAUAUUCUAUGAAUUGUCUCUGAUUUGUCUUCUUUUUUUUGUUUGUGUUUUGAGUGCCAGCACCAUCGCCAUUUGUAGUCUAAAGUCGAUCUUUGUGUUUUAACUUAGUUAAGAAGUUGUUGUGAUCAAAGAGAACAUGUGUUGUGGCUCUUUGAUGAUUCUGUUUAUGUAUAAACAAUCAAAUUAUCUAUUUAUUUUGUUGAAUUAAAAAAUAA
Brassica napus (rape) is the source of this 692-nucleotide long non-coding RNA. RefSeq lists it as uncharacterized. The transcript is spliced from 2 exons. The record is from RefSeq and is a predicted model, not a curated record. NCBI's taxonomy places the organism in Eukaryota, Viridiplantae, Streptophyta, Magnoliopsida, Brassicales, Brassicaceae.